RNAcentral lists this ribosomal RNA (413 nucleotides) under uncultured prokaryote. RNAcentral's name for it is "bacterial SSU rRNA". It matches the Rfam family "Bacterial small subunit ribosomal RNA", at positions 505 to 918 of the family's 1533-position model. The record is from RNAcentral.
GUGUCAGCAGCCGCGGUAAUACGGAGGGGGUUAGCGUUGUUCGGAAUUACUGGGCGUAAAGCGCGCGUAGGCGGGCUGGAAAGUUGGGGGUGAAAUCCCGGGGCUCAACCCCGGAACUGCCUUCAAAACUCCCAGCCUGGAGGUCGAGAGAGGUGAGUGGAAUUCCGAGUGUAGAGGUGAAAUUCGUAGAUAUUCGGAGGAACACCAGUGGCGAAGGCGGCUCACUGGCUCGCACCUGACGCUGAGGCGCGAAAGUGUGGGGAGCAAACAGGAUUAGAUACCCUGGUAGUCCACACCGUAAACGAUGGAUGCCAGUCGUCGGGCGGCUUGCCGUUCGGUGACGCAGUUAACGCAUUAAGCAUCCCGCCUGGGGAGUACGGCCGCAAGGUUAAAACUUAAAUGAAUUGACGGGG